Molecule: long non-coding RNA, 741 nt
Organism: Exaiptasia diaphana
Lineage: Eukaryota; Metazoa; Cnidaria; Anthozoa; Actiniaria; Aiptasiidae
Exons: 3
Source: RefSeq, a predicted model, not a curated record
UAAGCUUUCAUUUUUGCAAACGAAACCAGUAGAAUUGAGCAAUAUCAAGYUAUACUUGUUUGCGKAAAGAGACAACCAUGGGAAUGCGCUUCAUCUUAUUUCUGAUGGCUAUAAUUGCACUUCACCGUUCUGUCCAUGCAGCCAGCAAUGCCACUAAUGUAACAAUGCCACCAUCGUCAGCUCCGUCAACAACACCARUAGGUCUCUUAACUAAAACAAAUGGCAACGAUGGUAACAAUUCGUUUGAUAAAUCAACURCGKCYACAACAGCAGAACCGGCCGCAACAACAUCCACGUCAACAGUACUAAAAGAUGGUGCAAUAAUCGGCCUAGCGUUGGGCGUUGUUUCAGCCAUCAUUUUAUGGGAAUAACAAUCUUUUUUACUAAAAAGGCAGCUUCACUGARGAAAAACAGGUAUGGACGACCAAGACACAAAAUCCAAAUGAUUAAUAGAAGUGAACUGCAGUGUGAAGACAUGAUCAAAACUAGACUAGUGGAGAAACCAAAGAGAGAUAAAACACUUAGCCAUGUAGGAUAGACUCAAUGAUAACWGUCAAACAUAGUCAUAUAGAAACAAAACUCUCGGAAUCCCCUUCAGAGUUGACUUUAAUGAUAUACGACCUUUUUCCGUACCGACAACGUUAAUUCAAUAAGGUUAAUUAACGUACGUACACAUGUAUCUAUAGGAUAGCUGAUUAAAAAUUGUCGUUGGUAUUAAAAUACACGUCAGUGAMAAAUUAA